UACGAAGGGUGCAAGCGUUACUCGGAAUUACUGGGCGUAAAGGGCGCGUAGGCGGCCAUCUAAGUCAGACGUGAAAUCCCCCGGCUUAACCUGGGAACUGCGUCUGAUACUGGGAGGCUUGAGUAUGGGAGAGGGAUGUAGAAUUCCAGGUGUAGCGGUGAAAUGCGUAGAUAUCAGGAGGAACACCUGCGGUGUAGACGGCUUACUGGACCAUAACUGACGCUGAGGCACGAAAGCGUGGGUAGCAAACAGG
Molecule: ribosomal RNA, 253 nt
Filed under: uncultured bacterium
Lineage: Bacteria
Description: partial 16S ribosomal RNA
Rfam family: Bacterial small subunit ribosomal RNA
Source: RNAcentral